UUCAUUCCCGGUUAAGGUUUUUUGGGUUUCGUGCCAAUCACCGCCUACAUCGCUGCCUAGGAAUUGACGGGGUUUUAUUAUGGAUUUCAUUUACUUUUGCCCUUUUGACAUAUUCCUUGGAUCAUGGAAGGUGAGUGAUUAGCUGUUUAUUCAGUGGACUCUUUUUCGUUGAUUUUCACUAUCUUAUUUUUUUAAAAUUGUUAUUUACUGUAGAAAUCUGAAACUUUCUUGCCUGUUCAUCUAAAUGCAAAGAAUGAAAUACUGCACACCCUUGCAUUUGUUUCUGCCGUUUCUUUCCAGGUGCUUGUCGGAUUUUAUAACUAUCAAAUGUUGAAGGAUAUUAUUGCUGAGAAAAGGUUUGUAUUUUAGAGAAAUAGAUUGUUUGAUGUUUAAGACCUUUUAGUUUGAAGAGUUUUCUUUGUUAACUAGUUUCUUUAUCUCUUUGUUUCUGCCUUAUUGAAGGAGCUAUCUCUCUCUCUCUCUCUCCGUUAUACAUGCUGAUAAUAGCCUUCAAUUUGCUGGCUAAUAAUAUCUGCUUUCAGCUUUUUACUUGAUGAGGAUGAGAUGCAUGCAUUUUGAUUCCUGGGCAGUACGAUGGACGACCGGUGAGGCUGAUUCCCUGGUCAAAGAUGCAGUCAUAAGGCCAACUGAUAUUUUAUGGGUCAUUGACGAAGCAGCACAUUAAUUCCGCUGGGCUGCCUAACCAGGAUGAGUAGUUUGCACAGACUCUCCCUCUCCUUGCUGCCCUUUUAUUUUUUACCUUGAUAUGGAGUUUUCUUAUGUACAGAAUAUUUUGUAUAGCGUUUCUUGUUAGAAGGUUAGUCCCCUCUCUCUGUGGACUGCCUUACCUCUCCUGCAGAAGAAUUUUGCAGUACUGCAGGUCUUUUGUAAAGACCACGAGAUCAUAAAAUUUUCAAAUUUUGGUAGAGAAUUGGAAAGUUUUCUAUUCUCAUC
Theobroma cacao (cacao) is the source of this 954-nucleotide non-coding RNA. The record is from RefSeq and is a predicted model, not a curated record. NCBI's taxonomy places the organism in Eukaryota, Viridiplantae, Streptophyta, Magnoliopsida, Malvales, Malvaceae.